UACGAAGGGGGCUAGCGUUGUUCGGAAUCACUGGGCGUAAAGCGCACGUAGGCGGAUCUUUAAGUCAGGGGUGAAAUCCCGAGGCUCAACCUCGGAACUGCCUUUGAUACUGGCGACCUUGAGUCCGGGAGAGGUGAGUGGAACUGCGAGUGUAGAGGUGAAAUUCGUAGAUAUUCGCAAGAACACCAGUGGCGAAGGCGGCUCACUGGCCCGGUACUGACGCUGAGGAGCGAAAGCGUGGGGAGCGAACAGG
Molecule: ribosomal RNA, 253 nt
Filed under: uncultured bacterium
Lineage: Bacteria
Description: partial 16S ribosomal RNA
Rfam family: Bacterial small subunit ribosomal RNA
Source: RNAcentral